AGCUGCAGUCAACAUGCCUGGCAGGAAGACAGCGCUGCACAAAGUCUGUGCAGGCUGCCCCUGGGAAAAUGAGGUCUGGCAAAAAAGACUACUUCCUAUAGCAGAGGAAACAUUCAUCCACCUGCAGCCUUCAAUAAGGAGAAGAAUGGCUUCAGCAGCUAUGAAAGCUCUGAUGAAAAGUUUUCAAAAAGUACCCAAAACAGGAUGCAGAUCUUGCC
Long non-coding RNA from Passer domesticus (house sparrow), 218 nucleotides. RefSeq lists it as uncharacterized. NCBI's taxonomy places the organism in Eukaryota, Metazoa, Chordata, Aves, Passeriformes, Passeridae. The record is from RefSeq and is a predicted model, not a curated record. The transcript is spliced from 3 exons.